RNAcentral lists this ribosomal RNA (253 nucleotides) under uncultured bacterium. RNAcentral's name for it is "partial 16S ribosomal RNA". It matches the Rfam family "Bacterial small subunit ribosomal RNA", at positions 524 to 776 of the family's 1533-position model. The record is from RNAcentral.
UACAGAGGGUGCGAGCGUUAAUCGGAAUUACUGGGCGUAAAGCGUGCGUAGACGGUUAUGUAAGUCGGGUGUGAAAUCCCCGGGCUCAACCUGGGAACUGCAUCCGAAACUGCCUUGCUCGAGUAUGGGAGAGGGAAGUGGAAUUUCCGGUGUAGCGGUGAAAUGCGUAGAUAUCGGAAGGAACAUCAGUGGCGAAAGCGGCUUCCUGGACCAGCACCGACGUUCAGGCACGAAAGCGUGGGGAGCAAACAGG